UACGAAGGGGGCUAGCGUUGCUCGGAAUCACUGGGCGUAAAGCGCACGUAGGCGGAUCUUUAAGUCAGGGGUGAAGUCCUGGAGCUCAACUCCAGAACUGCCUUUGAUACUGGGGAUCUCGAGUCCGGAAGAGGUGAGUGGAACUCCGAGUGUAGAGGUGAAAUUCGUAGAUAUUCGGAAGAACACCAGUGGCGAAGGCGGCUCACUGGUCCGGUACUGACGCUGAGGUGCGAAAGCGUGGGGAGCAAACAGG
RNAcentral lists this ribosomal RNA (253 nucleotides) under uncultured bacterium. Its description in RNAcentral is "partial 16S ribosomal RNA". It matches the Rfam family "Bacterial small subunit ribosomal RNA", at positions 524 to 776 of the family's 1533-position model. The record is from RNAcentral.